RNAcentral lists this long non-coding RNA (445 nucleotides) under Homo sapiens (human). Its description in RNAcentral is "HSALNT0351050". The record is from RNAcentral. Lineage: Eukaryota; Metazoa; Chordata; Mammalia; Primates; Hominidae.
CCUCUGUGCAACAGGGGAAACAGCACAGCAUAGGGAACCAUUGAUCUUAGGAAGAGCUUGUUAGUAGAUUUCGGCUUGCUUAGGUAUUGUUAGGGGAAGGGUUCAAAGAAGAGUGGUUUUGGUUUGGAUUGGAUGCUGGCAGAAUCUAAAAGUGUAAUUAGCAAAAACAUGGGAGUUACUCAAAUUAGCUGGAACUAGAGGUGUUGGGUUAUUCCUGUGGUUUGUAUAGUGUUCUUAUUUUUGCAUGUGUUUCAAUGAUUAUGCAGUGAUCUUGUUUUUGUCUUGCUCUACAUUGUGAUCAUCCAGGGACCUUAUGUGAUCUCCUUCUCACUCUCUUUCUUGCUCUACACAGCCACAGACAUACCUUCCACCUCUUACUCACUGCACGAACCCGUGGACCCGCACACAUACUCACGAAAAUGCUCACAUGCUCAUAAAAAUGCUU